GCUGGGCGUGGUGGUGGGCGCCUGUAAUCCCAGCUACUCGGGAGGCUGAGGCAGGAGAAUUGCUUGAACCCAGGAGGCGGAGGUUGCAGUGAGCUGAGAUCGUGCCACUGCACUCCAGCCUGGGUGACAGAGCAAGACUCUGCCUCUC
This 148-nucleotide signal recognition particle RNA is filed under the name Homo sapiens (human). RNAcentral describes it as "Metazoan signal recognition particle RNA". It matches the Rfam family "Metazoan signal recognition particle RNA". From Rfam's summary of the family: The signal recognition particle (SRP) is a universally conserved ribonucleoprotein. It is involved in the co-translational targeting of proteins to membranes. The eukaryotic SRP consists of a 300-nucleotide 7S RNA and six proteins: SRPs 72, 68, 54, 19, 14, and 9. Lineage: Eukaryota; Metazoa; Chordata; Mammalia; Primates; Hominidae. The record is from Rfam by way of RNAcentral.